AAAAUAAAACAUUGUCAACAUAUUAUUUUGUGCCACAAGAAGCAGAAUGUUUUAACAGUACAGUAGUUUGAAUAUAUUUGUUGUUUACCUUUAUCAGACCUCUAAGGCACCCACAACCAGCGUCUGAUCGGGAUAGAGCACCAACCCCAUUCCAGGAAGAGGUCCAGUCUGCCCCGGGUCAGAACAACUUCUAUAGCAACUACACAAAUGGGUAUGCACUUAUCAUUAUUGAUAGCCAGUCUGAGCCAGAAGACAAAAUGGAGCAACGGUAUUAAUUGUUACUAUUACCACUUAAUUG
Long non-coding RNA from Notothenia coriiceps (black rockcod), 298 nucleotides. RefSeq lists it as uncharacterized. Lineage: Eukaryota; Metazoa; Chordata; Actinopteri; Perciformes; Nototheniidae. The record is from RefSeq and is a predicted model, not a curated record. The transcript is spliced from 3 exons.